AUGGAUGGCCGGGGCUUCAAACCAGGGGGCCAAGAAAGCCGGCCGGCGGCGGCCGGGGCGGGCGCGGAGAGGGCCGAUGCGGCGGCCGCGGGCUGGGCGGCGGCGGCCAAGGCCAGGGAGGACGAGCAGCAGCAGCAGCAUCGUCUCCAUGGACGCGGCGGCGUGACGGCUUCCAGGCACGGAUCCCCUCCUCCACCUCCAUCCUCCACCUCUCCGGUCGCCCGGUUGCAAUGCAGCUCCUUCCUACCUUCCAUGGACGAGCUUGACGGAGACGCCGUCCAGCCUGACCACGGCUACGACUACCCCACGCACAAGGUCCCUUCCUGCCCCCCACCUUCUUCCAUGGUUCAAGACGCUACAUACACUGCUGCUGUUGUUUGUCAAAUUCAUUCCACUGAAGCCAUCUGCUUCGUCCACCAACCCGCCCAAAAAGGUAGUUAUUGUGAAUUGAUGUUCGCACUGAGGCCGGAGGCGAUAGGCGAGGGCACGAAGGUCGGCGGCAAGUGCUCAGGAGAUAAGAGGAAGGCGGCGGUGGCUGCGGUUUACACGAGAGCGAGGUGA
This 561-nucleotide ribosomal RNA is filed under the name Triticum aestivum (bread wheat). Its description in RNAcentral is "partial small subunit ribosomal RNA". The record is from RNAcentral. Lineage: Eukaryota; Viridiplantae; Streptophyta; Magnoliopsida; Poales; Poaceae.